This 20-nucleotide non-coding RNA is filed under the name Arabidopsis thaliana (thale cress). Lineage: Eukaryota; Viridiplantae; Streptophyta; Magnoliopsida; Brassicales; Brassicaceae. The record is from RNAcentral.
UUAAAAUUCAGUGGCAACCA